This 350-nucleotide unclassified non-coding RNA is filed under the name soil metagenome. RNAcentral describes it as "partial contains 5.8S ribosomal RNA, internal transcribed spacer 2, and large subunit ribosomal RNA". The stretch from base 1 to 120 matches the Rfam family "5.8S ribosomal RNA", at positions 35 to 154 of the family's 154-position model. The record is from RNAcentral.
GAUGAAGAACGUAGCGAAAUGCGAUAAGUAAUGUGAAUUGCAGAAUUCAGUGAAUCAUCGAAUCUUUGAACGCACAUUGCGCCCGCCAGUAUUCUGGCGGGCAUGCCUGUUCGAGCGUCAUUUCAACCCUCAAGCCCAGCUUGGUGUUGGGGAUCGGCACAGGCGCCCUCGGGCGCCCGCCGUCCCCUAAAUCUAGUGGCGGUCCCGCUGCAGCCUCCUCUGCGUAGUAGUUUUCUCCUCGCAAGGGCAGCUCGGUGGCGACCUCGCCGUAAAACCCCCAACUUCUGAAAGGUUGACCUCGAAUCAGGUAGGACUACCCGCUGAACUUAAGCAUAUCAAUAAGCGGAGGA